This 425-nucleotide ribosomal RNA is filed under the name uncultured bacterium. Its description in RNAcentral is "partial 16S ribosomal RNA". It matches the Rfam family "Bacterial small subunit ribosomal RNA", at positions 354 to 796 of the family's 1533-position model. The record is from RNAcentral.
GUGGGGAAUCUUGCGCAAUGGGCGAAAGCCUGACGCAGCCAUGCCGCGUGAAUGAUGAAGGUCUUAGGAUUGUAAAAUUCUUUCACCGGGGACGAUAAUGACGGUACCCGGAGAAGAAGCCCCGGCUAACUUCGUGCCAGCAGCCGCGGUAAUACGAAGGGGGCUAGCGUUGCUCGGAAUUACUGGGCGUAAAGGGCGCGUAGGCGGACAGUUUAGUCAGAGGUGAAAGCCCAGGGCUCAACCUUGGAAUUGCCUUUGAUACUGGCUGUCUUGGGUACGGGAGAGGUGAGUGGAACUCCGAGUGUAGAGGUCAAAUUCGUAGAUAUUCGGAAGAACACCAGUGGCGAAGGCGACUCACUGGCCCGUUACUGACGCUGAGGCGCGAAAGCGUGGGGAGCAAACAGGAUUAGAAACCCCAGUAGUUC